Long non-coding RNA from Sphaerodactylus townsendi, 1214 nucleotides. RefSeq lists it as uncharacterized. Lineage: Eukaryota; Metazoa; Chordata; Lepidosauria; Squamata; Sphaerodactylidae. The transcript has 3 exons. The record is from RefSeq and is a predicted model, not a curated record.
GUAGCUUGGAAAAAACAGCUUUCCUCUAGUGAACCACACAGUAAUGCUGCAGAGUAGCUUAGCAGGGAAAGCAAAACAAGACAAAAAAGCUUUAAAGGUCUAAAAGCUGUGAGGGGUUUGUCAUACAGCAGCAAGAUGUCCCAGAGUGCUCAGAUGGAUACUCUACCUACAGCCACCCUACAGUUCGCUCUUCUCUUCCAGGUUAAAGGAGAAAGCCCUGGAAAUGUCAUGAAUGCACAUUUCCCUUUAAUCUGGGGGUUCCUUGCUUUCCACGUAGGGAAAAAUCCCUGUGUGACAACAGCCUAUUUUAUUCAUUUUAAUGCAGGGGAUAUGGACAUGUUGUGCAUGCAUUACCCCCCAACCCCCAGACAGCAGUGCCCUGUGUGGGGUUUUUUUUUUACUUCAUAUGCUAUACAAAUGUACUUUAAUAAAUAAAUAACUCUCACUUUCACAAAUACUUAUAAAAAGUUACAGCACUUCAAUCUUUUACCGUCUAUGUCAUGCAUUCCUUAUCUAAAUGCUUCAGAGGUAGAGGUUUACCUGUUCAUACUGAUUCAUGCCUGACAGCUAGGAUUAACUACUGUACUACACACUGUGUGGGAAGUGUGGGAAAAGUGCCAGCAGUUAAGAAAGUGCCAAGCUGUUGACAAGUAAUACAUAUCCCAAAAGGCCUACCCCAAUGUUGCAACAACUUCACUGGUUUCUAGUUCAUUUCUGCCCCAUAAAUGGUCGUUUAAUCCCCUAAAUGAUCUGGGCCUGCUUGCUCCCAUACAAAUCUAUAUGAAUAUUAAGAUCCUAACCGGCCCUGCCUCUUUCUUCCUGAAACAGGGUAGAUGGCUGCAGGACCAUGGUUGCUAGUCAAAUGGAUGAUUGGAGCUGUCUAAACAGAAAGUACUUCCAUUUGCAUGGGGUUAUACAACAUCUAUCGUAUGUAUGAACUACUUUAACUGAUCAAUCGCAUAAUGCCGAAUAAAUGCAUCAGCGGACAACCAUGUGGCUGCUCGACAGACCUCCUGCAGAGGGACCCCCUUCUGAAAUGCAGCCAAAGAUGCCUGAGUUCUUGUAGAGUGAACACGAACAACUAAAGGACAUGGUACCUUUGCCAUUUUAUUACAUGGUUUUAUAGUGAAGACUAUUCACCUGGACAAAGUCUGCAAUGAAGCCCUUCUUCUAUGUCCCAAGUAAGCUAUAAAUAAAGUUUUAUUCUUCCUAAA